This 465-nucleotide ribosomal RNA is filed under the name uncultured bacterium. RNAcentral's name for it is "partial 16S ribosomal RNA". It matches the Rfam family "Bacterial small subunit ribosomal RNA", at positions 338 to 795 of the family's 1533-position model. The record is from RNAcentral.
CCUACGGGAGGCAGCAGUGGGGAAUAUUGCGCAAUGGGCGAAAGCCUGACGCAGCGACGCCGCGUGAGGGAUGAAGGUCUUCGGAUCGUAAACCUCUGUCGGCAGGGAAGAACGGUCACUGUGCUAAUCAGCAGUGAAUUCACGGUACCUGCAACGGAAGCACCGGCUAACUCCGUGCCCGCAGCCGCGGUAAUACGGAGGGUGCGAGCGUUAAUCGGAAUUACUGGGCGGAAAGCGCUCGUAGGCGGUAUGUCAAGUCAAGGGUGAAAUCCCCGCGCUCAACGUGGGAACUGCCUUUGAAACUGGCAAACUGGAGUGUGUGAGAGGAUAGUGGAAUUCCAGGUGUAGGAGUGAAAUCCGUAGAUAUCUGGAGGAACAUCAGGGGCGAAGGCGACUAUCUGGCACAUAACUGACGCUGAGGAGCGAAAGCGUGGGUAGCAAACAGGAUUAGAUACCCUUGUAGUC